Molecule: ribosomal RNA, 473 nt
Filed under: uncultured soil bacterium
Lineage: Bacteria
Description: bacterial SSU rRNA
Rfam family: Bacterial small subunit ribosomal RNA
Source: RNAcentral
AGAUUGAACGCUGGCGGCAGGCCUAACACAUGCAAGUCGAGCGGUAGAGAGGUGCUUGCACCUCUUGAGAGCGGCGGACGGGUGAGUAAUGCCUAGGAAUCUGCCUAGUGGUGGGGGAUAACGUUCGGAAACGGACGCUAAUACCGCAUACGUCCUACGGGAGAAAGCGGGGGACCUUCGGGCCUCGCGCCAUUAGAUGAGCCUAGGUCGGAUUAGCUAGUUGGUGAGGUAAUGGCUCACCAAGGCGACGAUCCGUAACUGGUCUGAGAGGAUGAUCAGUCACACUGGAACUGAGACACGGUCCAGACUCCUACGGGAGCAGCAGUGGGAAUAUGGACAAGUGGGACGAAAGCCUGACGUCCAAGCCAUCGCCGCGUUGUGGUAGAAGUAAGGUCUUCGGAUUAGUAAAGCUACGUUUAAGUUGGAGUAAGGUUGUAACGUUAUACGUGACUAAUUGUACUUACCGACUAGAA